AUUGAACGCUGGCGGCAGGCCUAACACAUGCAAGUCGAGCGGAUGAAGGGAGCUUGCUCCUGGAUUCAGCGGCGGACGGGUGAGUAAUGCCUAGGAAUCUGCCUGGUAGUGGGGGAUAACGUCCGGAAACGGGCGCUAAUACCGCAUACGUCCUGAGGGAGAAAGUGGGGGAUCUUCGGACCUCACGCUAUCAGAUGAGCCUAGGUCGGAUUAGCUAGUUGGUGGGGUAAAGGCCUACCAAGGCGACGAUCCGUAACUGGUCUGAGAGGAUGAUCAGUCACACUGGAACUGAGACACGGUCCAGACUCCUACGGGAGGCAGCAGUGGGGAAUGUUGGACAAUGGGCGAGAGCCUGAUCCAGCCAUGCCGCGUGUGUGAAGAAGGUCUUCGGAUUGUAAAGCACUUUAAGUUGGGAGGAAGGGCAGUAAGUUAAUACCUUGCUGUUUUGACGUUACCAACAGAAUAAGCACCGGCUAACUUCGUG
RNAcentral lists this ribosomal RNA (484 nucleotides) under uncultured bacterium. Its description in RNAcentral is "partial 16S ribosomal RNA". It matches the Rfam family "Bacterial small subunit ribosomal RNA", at positions 30 to 507 of the family's 1533-position model. The record is from RNAcentral.